AUUGAACGCUGGCGGCAGGCCUAACACAUGCAAGUCGAACGGUAACAGGAAGAAGCUUGCUUCUUUGCUGACGAGUGGCGGACGGGUGAGUAAUGUCUGGGAAACUGCCUGAUGGAGGGGGAUAACUACUGGAAACGGUAGCUAAUACCGCAUAACGUCGCAAGACCAAAGAGGGGGACCUUCGGGCCUCUUGCCAUCGGAUGUGCCCAGAUGGGAUUAGCUAGUAGGUGGGGUAACGGCUCACCUAGGCGACGAUCCCUAGCUGGUCUGAGAGGAUGACCAGCAACACUGGAACUGAGACACGGUCCAGACUCCUACGGGAGGCAGCAGUGGGGAAUAUUGCACAAUGGGCGCAAGCCUGAUGCAGCCAUGCCGCGUGUAUGAAGAAGGCCUUCGGGUUGUAAAGUACUUUCAGCGGGGAGGAAGGGAGUAAAGUUAAUACCUUUGCUCAUUGACGUUACCCGCAGAAGAAGCACCGGCUAACUCCGUG
Molecule: ribosomal RNA, 490 nt
Filed under: uncultured bacterium
Lineage: Bacteria
Description: partial 16S ribosomal RNA
Rfam family: Bacterial small subunit ribosomal RNA
Source: RNAcentral